This is a long non-coding RNA of Astyanax mexicanus (Mexican tetra), 476 nucleotides long. RefSeq lists it as uncharacterized. The transcript is spliced from 3 exons. The record is from RefSeq and is a predicted model, not a curated record. Lineage: Eukaryota; Metazoa; Chordata; Actinopteri; Characiformes; Acestrorhamphidae.
ACUCAAAAAAAUAAACUCACCCUGUUGUUGAUUUUAAUCAAGUAUUUUUAAUUAAAAUUACUUAACAGCUUUGUGUUAGCAAGUGAAACCUGAGUCAGUUGGACUGCUGUGAUGAAAGUCAGUUAAGUUGUCUGAUUUAAUUAAUAAGUGCAUGUUUGGUGAACGCAUCCCAGUGAAGUAAACUCAACAGGCUGGCUACUUUCUUCAUCCGGGACAUUCGUGGCUGUCUGUGGACUUCUCUUCAGCAGCAGCGCCAUUUUAUUUUGGAAAAGCAGAGAGUGCGGGUGUCUCUGUCAGUAAGAACAGUCCUGCAAUUGUAGGCUGGGUGGUGUACCUUUUUUGGCUCUUGUGUACCAUGAAUGUGGAAGUGUAAAGACUGUGAUGCAGAAGAAAGUAAAAGUAGUUAAUUAUUUAUUUUUAUCCAUAUGCAAAUUUAACCCUCACGUCCUUCCCUCAACAAAGACAGAAAUAUUUGU